This 790-nucleotide long non-coding RNA is filed under the name Junco hyemalis (dark-eyed junco). RNAcentral describes it as "lncRNA (ENSJHYG00000007432.1)". Lineage: Eukaryota; Metazoa; Chordata; Aves; Passeriformes; Passerellidae. The record is from RNAcentral.
CCCCAGAACAGGAAUUUUUACCCCAAACUUCCCCCCCAAAAUGGGAAUUUUUCACCCCAAAAUUUCCCCCCCAAAAUGGGAAUUUUUUACUCCAAAAUCCAACCCCAAAAUAGGAAUUUUCCCCCAAAUUUCUCCCCCAAAAUGGGAAUUUUUACCACAAAAUUUUUAACCCAAAAUGGGCAUUUUUCACCCUAAAAUCCAUCCCCAAAAUGGGAAUUUUCCCCCCAAUGUUUCAACCCCAAAAUGGGAAUUUUUACCCCAAACUUCCCUCCCAAAAUGGGAUUUUUUUACCUAAAUUUUCCACACCAAAAAUGGGAAUUUUCACCCAAAAUUUUAACCCCAAAAUGGGCAUUUUUCACCCCAAAAUCCACCCCCAAAAUGGGAAUUUUCACCCCAAUUUUCAGCCCCAAAAUGGGAAUUUUUCACCCCAAUUUUCACCCCAAAACUGGGAAUUUUCACCCCAAAAUCCACCCUCAAAUCCAGGAAAUUCUACCUUAGAAUUCACCCCAAAAAUUGGAUUUUUUUACCCCAAAAUCGCCGCAAAAAUUAGGAAUUAACACUUAAAAAAUCCACCCCAAAACUGGGAAUUUUUACCCCAAAAUCCACUCUAAAACUGGAAAUUUCCACCUUAAAAUCUCCAAAAAAAUGGGAAUUUUUUGCCUUAAAAUCCACCCCAAAAUUGGGAAUUUCUACCUUAAAAUCCACCCCAAAAAUGGGAAUUUUUUACCCCAAAAAUAAGAAUUUCCACAGUAACAUGCAUCCCAAAAUUGGAAAUAUUUACCCCAAAAUC